AGCUUAAUGGUAUUUAAUAUUAAGUGGUUUCUGCUCAAUGAUUUAAUUAAAUAGCCGCAGUACUUUGACUGUGCGAAGGUAGCAUAAUAAAUUGGCUUAUAAUUGAAGUCGGGAAUGAAUGAAUUAAUGAAUAUAAGCUGUCUUAUAUAAGUACUAAUUAAUUUUCUUAGUAAGUGAAAAUUCUUACAAUAUGUUUUAUUAGACGAGAAGACCCUUGAAAUUUUAAUAAAAUAAUAUGUUAUUUAUUAGUAAUUUUUGUUGGGGCGAUAGAUUUACAAUACAACUGAAUUUAUUUAAAUGUAAGAAUAAUAAUUCAAAUUUUAUUAAUAAAAAAUAAAUUACUCAAGGGAUAACAGCAUAAUUUAUAAAUAAGUUUGUGACCUCGAUGUUGGACUAGGGAAUUUUAAGUUUAGAAGAUUUAAAAUUAAGUUCUGUUCGAACUUUAAUUCCUACAUG
Molecule: ribosomal RNA, 456 nt
Filed under: Zaphysema olivaceum
Lineage: Eukaryota; Metazoa; Mollusca; Gastropoda; Stylommatophora; Sagdidae
Description: partial 16S ribosomal RNA
Source: RNAcentral